UUCCGGUUGAUCCUGCCGGACCUACUGCUAUCGGGGUGGGACUAAGACAUGCGAGUUGAGCGUCUCUAAGCUAUGGUAGAGACGCGGCGUACGGCUCAGUAACACGUGGCUAACCUACCCUUAGGACGGGGACAACCCCGGGAAACUGGGGCUAAUACCCGAUAGGCGAGGAGGCCUGGAAUGGUUCUUAGUCGAAAAGGCGUUGAAACCAUGCUUUUCGACGUCGCCUAAGGAUGGGGCCGCGCCCGAUCAGGUUGUUGGUGGGGUAACGGCUCACCAAGCCUAUAACCGGUACGGGCCGUGAGAGCGGGAGCCCGGAGAUGGGCACUGAGACAAGGGCCCAGGCCCUACGGGGCGCAGCAGUCGCGAAACUCCGCAAUGCGCGAAAGCGUGACGGGGCUACCCCGAGUGCCGUCCGCUGAGGAUGGCUUUUCUCCGGUGUAAUGAGCCGGGGGAAUAAGGAGAGGGCAAGUCUGGUGUCAGCCGCCGCGGUAAUACCAGCUNUCCGAGUGGUAGGGAUGAUUAUUGGGCUUAAAGCGUCCGUAGCCGGCUUAGCAAGUCUCCUGUUAAAUUCAGCGACCUAAUCGUUGAGCCGCGGGAGAUACUACUAGGCUAGGAGGCGGGAGAGGCCGACGGUAUUCUCGGGGUAGGGGUGAAAUCCUAUAAUCUCGGGAGGACCNCCAGUGGCGAAGGCUGUCGGCUAGAACGCGCUCGACGGUGAGGGACGAAAGCUGGGGGAGCGAACCGGAUUAGAUACCCGGGUAGUCCCAGCUGUAAACGAUGCGGGCUAGGUGUUGGGGUGGCUACGAGCCACUUCAGUGCCGCAGGGAAGCCAUUAAGCCCGCCGCCUGGGGAGUACGGCCGCAAGGCUGAAACUUAAAGGAAUUGGCGGGGGAGCACCACAAGGCGUGAAGCUUGCGGUUCAAU
This 927-nucleotide ribosomal RNA is filed under the name uncultured archaeon. Its description in RNAcentral is "bacterial SSU rRNA". It matches the Rfam family "Archaeal small subunit ribosomal RNA", at positions 1 to 906 of the family's 1478-position model. The record is from RNAcentral.